RNAcentral lists this transfer RNA (71 nucleotides) under Coreoperca herzi. RNAcentral's name for it is "tRNA-Val". The record is from RNAcentral. Lineage: Eukaryota; Metazoa; Chordata; Actinopteri; Centrarchiformes; Sinipercidae.
CCAGAAAAGCAUCUCCCUUACACUGAGAAGUCGUUCGUGCAAAUCGAAUCAUCCUGAGACCCAACAGCUAG